CCUUCCCCUUCCCCUUCCCCUUCCCCUCUUAUCUUUAAGAAAGAAUUGGUUAAAAAAAACAGAAGAAAAAGAAAAGAAAGAAAUGGCAGAGGACAUCAAGAUGAAGAAGAGGAAGAUGGCACAUCUUAUGUUCAUUCCUGUUCCUGGUGCUGGCCACUUACCUUCUAUCCUCGAAUUCGCCAACCUCCUUGUCAACCGUUUCAACAACAUUUCCAUAACCGUUUUCACUAGUAAAUUCCCAUUUUCUCCCUCGCCACCUUCACUCACCUCUUCGCACCCUCAAAUCCAACUCAUUCCUCUCCCUGAAACUCCAGAACCUCCAUCAUCACAGCAACUCCUACUGAAGGCGCGUGAACUCUACGUCGUGACCUUCAUCGACUCCCUCAUACCCCACGUCAAGUCAGCAAUCCAAACCAUUCUCUCUUCAUAUUCUUCCAACUCUGAUGAAUCAAAGCCACUCUUUACUUUGGUUCUUGAUUUCUUCUGUGUUUCAAUGGUUGAUGUGGGAAUUGAACUUGGCAUACCUUCUUAUAUCUACAUGACUUCAAAUGCUGGGUUCUUAGGGUACAUGUUUUCCAUUCUUGAACGUCAAAUUGAUGAUGUUUUCAAUUAUUCUGAUCCUGAUUUGUUGAUUCAAGGUAUUUCAAUUCCAGCUCCUUCUAGGGUUUUACCUGAUGCUUCUUUUAACAGUGAUGGUGGAUUUGUUGGGUAUUAUAAGUGUGCUCAGAGGUUCAGAGACACCAAAGGAAUUAUUGUUAAUACUUUUUCAGAGUUGGAGAAUUAUGCUAUUGAUGCAUUAUUAUCAGAUGGAGGAAGAAAAAGAAAUCCUCCUAUUUUUGCUGUUGGUCCUUUGAUUAAUCUCAAAGGACAGCAAAACCCGAAUUUAGAUCAAAAUCUCCAUGAAAAGAUUAUGAAAUGGCUUGAUCUGCAGCCAGAUUGUUCUGUUGUGUUUUUGUGUUUUGGGAGUAGAGGAAGCUUUGGUCCAUCCCAAACAAGGGAAAUAGGGAUGGCGCUUCGUCAUACCGGAGUUAGGUUCUUGUGGGCUAUGCGUUCGCCACCGGACAAAGUUAUCGACGAGGAGAGCACCUUGCCGGAAGGGUUCUUGGAAUGGAUGGAAGGGAAGGGAAUGAUUUGCGAGUGGGCGCCACAGGUGGAGGUUCUUGCUCACAAAGCAAUUGGUGGGUUUGUUUCACAUUGUGGUUGGAACUCUAUUUUGGAGAGCUUGUGGUUUGGGGUGCCAAUAUUGACAUGGCCUAUUUAUGCAGAACAACAUCUUAAUGCUUUUAGGAUGGUUAAGGAAUUUGGAUUAGCAAUUGAGCUAACAUUGGAUUAUAGAUUUGGUAGUAAUGAUGUUGUAACGGCAAAUGAGAUAGAGAAUGGGUUGAAACAAUUGAUGGACAGAGAUAAUGUUGUGCACAAGAAGGUGAAAGAGAUGAAAGAGAUGGCUAGGAAGGCUAUCCUCAAUGGUGGAUCUUCUUUUAAUUCUGCUGGAGAACUAAUUGAUAAUAUGUUAGCUUACAGAAGUCCUAGUUGACCCCCAUCAAACGAACAAAGAAAAUGGUGGAAACUGAGAUGAACAAGCAAGAUAAGCCAAUCUUCAUUCCCUCACCGGGAUUUCUCAGUCUCAUGAUUUCCCUCCAAACCUGUUGAGUCGAGGAUGUGUUCAACGAUUCUGAUCCUGAUUUGUUGAUUCCAGGUAUCUCCAAACUAGUUCCUUCAGCGGUUUUAACUGAUGCUCUUUUAAACAAAGAUGGUGGAUAUGUUGCAUGUUAUAAGCUUGCUCAAAGUUUCAAAGGCUCCAAAGGGAUCAUUAACACUUUUUCCGAGAUCGAGCAG
Arachis duranensis is the source of this 1836-nucleotide RNA transcript. It is a transcript of the gene named UDP-glycosyltransferase 71K1, with no coding region annotated. NCBI's taxonomy places the organism in Eukaryota, Viridiplantae, Streptophyta, Magnoliopsida, Fabales, Fabaceae. The transcript has 3 exons. The record is from RefSeq and is a predicted model, not a curated record.